AGCAUCCCUCCAUAGGGUGUGAAGUCCCCGUAACCAAGGGGAUGUGCCCUCUGGGAGCCUGCAUUCCCCUUCUUGAUGAUCACACUAUGGGUAUCCAGAAUUCUGGAAUCUUUUGCUCAAAUUGCCCAAGUCCACUGCCUCUGGGGGCAUCUUUUCCCAUCUACCUUUCCACCAGUGUGGGCAUCUCUAACCAAAGGGAUGUGGCAUCGCAUGGCCCACAGGCGCUGCUGCGGGAUGGAAACUGAGGCUCGGAGGGGAUACAGGCAUGAAGGUGCACAUUUGCUCCCUGGGUACAGCUGGGUUUCAAAUGGGAAGAAAGGGAAUUAUUCUCGUUUGGGGUUUUGUGGAGAAGCUCGGGCCAUUUGUGUCCAGGAAUCUUGUGAACUUUAAGAGCUUCUGUAAGGAGGACACCUCCCCAUCUCGGGGUGAGGACCUCCUGUCCCUAAGGGACUCAGCCUCUCCAGCUGAUGGCAGCUGUGCUGGCGGGUUCCUGCCAGGGGAGGGCUGAGCCGUGUUCCGGAUGUGGGAGAGUGUUGUGAAAACAGGAAAGCUCCCAUUCCUGGAAUGGUCUGUGAACGUGGGAAACCAUUAACCUACCCGACAUCUGAAGACCAAGAGCAGCUCAACUUUCAGAGAUUGUUAACACACCUUCCAAUGCCCCUUUCUAGGCCGGACAGUUGUUUGAUUAAGUCCCACUACCUGGGGUGACUUUUUUUGAACAGGAGUUGCUUUUUCAAAUCCAGAGAAGUAGGAUUAAAGUUGGAUGUUCUCUGUCCUUGAAAGAGCUGGUAUUAGGAUAAAUUCAAAGAUGACUAGCUAUACAGAAUGGGGAGCAAACUGAAGAAUGAGGCUCAGAGCUGUGCUCCCCAGAGUGGUCCUUGAGCGGCAUCAGAACUGGCAAGUACCUCUGGGGGUGGCCAGGAAUCUGCAUUCUAUUUUAUUUUAUUUUUUAAAGGUUUUAUUUAUUUAUUCAAGAUAGAGAGAGUGAAUGAGACAGAGAGCAUGAUCAGGGUGAGGGGGAGAGGGGGAAGCAGGCUCCUGGCUGAGCAGGGGACCGAUGUGGGGCUCAAUCCCAGGACCCCGGGAUCAUGACCUGAGUCGAAGGCAGAUGCUUAACCAACCGAGCCACCCAGGUACGCCCUGCAUUCCAUUUUUUAAAAAGAUUUUUUAAAUUUAUUCAUGAGAGACACAGGGAGAGAGAGAAGCAGAGGGAGAAGCAAGCUCCAUGCAAGGAGCCCGAUGCAGGACUCGAUCCCGGGACCCCAGGAUCACGCCCUGGGCUGAAGGCAGGCACUUAACUGCUUAGCUGCCCCGGGAUCCCCUGCAUUCCAUUUUAUUUUAUUUUAUUUUUAAAUUUUUUCCCCCUGCAUUCCAUUUUAAAUGAAGGUAU
Molecule: long non-coding RNA, 1390 nt
Filed under: Vulpes vulpes (red fox)
Lineage: Eukaryota; Metazoa; Chordata; Mammalia; Carnivora; Canidae
Description: lncRNA (ENSVVUG00000017210.1)
Source: RNAcentral